AACAUGUAAAGAACUAAAGAAAGCAUAAUUUUGUCCACAAGGUCGUCGUAUAUAAAGCCUUAUUUCUAAAACAAAGGUUAUUUUACAAUAAAAAAUGGCUUCGUCACCUAACAAAUUAAGGAUUGAGGAAAAUGGAUCUCGUUUGAGUAAACUUUUAAUCAAUAAAGGAACCCAAGCCUUAAAAA
Long non-coding RNA from Xenia sp. Carnegie-2017, 185 nucleotides. RefSeq lists it as uncharacterized. Lineage: Eukaryota; Metazoa; Cnidaria; Anthozoa; Malacalcyonacea; Xeniidae. The transcript has 2 exons. The record is from RefSeq and is a predicted model, not a curated record.